UCUUCCCGUCUUCAACCUUGCAGUCUCAGCUUACUUUUGCCUGCAAACACUAUGAUUUCUUCCUUUAACUCUUAACCUCCCAUUUCGUUCAACGUAUUCCUCUUAAUUUCGCCAAUAAAUGUUAUUCUCAUUUAACACAAUCACGAUGACGACCUCUCCGUUUCCUUCACUUGAAGCUAUAAAUUGGAGAGAGUUGAGAGUUUGAUGAAUCAUCACAACAACUCUCAGUUAAUCUUCAUGUUGCAAGAUUCUUCGUAAAUAUCUUCUUCCGAUGUUGUUAUUGGGCAAUCAACCUUCGACGCCCUCCGACUCAGUAGAUCUUUCCACUUCGUUGUUGCUCGGCUUCUCUGUUAUUGGGACUCGAAAAACAUCAAGAAGCAUGGUGAAUUCAUGGGAAUCACUCUACCUCUCUUCAAUGAGAAGAUGGAAAGAUCACUGCUUUAAAGGAAUUACAAGGUCACAUAUGGAGAACAGGUUUCGAAUGUCAUGAACUGAAAUCUGUUGUUUUCGAGGAUGUACCAGAGGCUUUGGAGAAAUGGCAUUCUUCUGGAAUAAAGAAACAAGAAAGAAAGCAAGAGUUACAAGGAGAUUACAGAAACAUUGGGAGUGGAUGAUCCUUCAGAGAUUAUUUUUGUGACAGAUGUUUAUCAAGAAGCUACUGCUGCAAAAACUGCAGGUCUGGAGGCGAUCAUAUUGAUUCUACCUGGUAACGUAUCCUUUCCAGAGAAUCAUGAGCUCAAGACUGUCUCUUCAUUCUUCCAAAUCUAGAGUAUGUUUCAUAUGGUGUUGCAUUUGACAUGAGCACAGUUACCAAAUAUAUCUCCGCUCAAUGGACGCUAUGAAACCUGGUGCAGACUGUCACAAGCCUGGCAUGGAAGUGUCCUGCACGACGUGUAUUAACUACGAUUUAGUGUGCAAGUUUGUGUACUUGAUCGUGGAGUUCGACCCAACAGUUGCAAAUCCAUCUCAGAGCAAUUUCCCCAUUUCUGUUUUUGUUUGCGUGACUCAAUCUUUUGUUUGUUUUUAUUUAUAUAUUUAAAUAUUCCCACUAACUAUAAAAGAUUAAUUACUUCAGGGACUA
Molecule: long non-coding RNA, 1081 nt
Organism: Brassica napus (rape)
Lineage: Eukaryota; Viridiplantae; Streptophyta; Magnoliopsida; Brassicales; Brassicaceae
Exons: 5
Source: RefSeq, a predicted model, not a curated record